Molecule: non-coding RNA, 826 nt
Organism: Pelobates cultripes (western spadefoot toad)
Lineage: Eukaryota; Metazoa; Chordata; Amphibia; Anura; Pelobatidae
Source: the annotation of a GenBank genome assembly
GAUAAACCAGCAGGCUGAUAGAAUAGUGCAUUAAAAGGUUUAAAUAUGGAGUGCAGGGAUAAGUAAACAAAGCCAAAAUAGUUAUUAUCUAGGAGAUAUACUUUUAAACUGUAAGACAUGCUAGAAAAUGGUAGAUCCUAGAAACUAGUUUAACAAAAUAAUUAAGUAAAGGCAUGAUCUUGAGAUAUUGCUUGUCUCACAUACCCCAGGAUGCUCUAAGCACAAUGUGGUGGUUAUACUUUUUUUGGGAAGUAUAGACAUCAGAAGCAGGUUUAUUAAACACCACAAUGCCUAUGACUUUAAAUGUCUUUUUGUGCUUUAUAGUGAGUUUCGUAUGGUUGCACUUUCCAGUAGCCAAAUUUAUUACGUGGAGAGUGUACAGGGUAACUAAUCUGUCCAACAGACAAAGAGCCGAUUAAUGAUGAUUAACUCAGAAUUGGGGACAAGGUGACAGAGGAAAUAACUAACCCAUUACCGGCAAUUGCACCACUACACAAGCUUUGUCUCUGAAAUGCUGGGUCAUGUUCUAAAGAAUAAGACCAAAAUGCCAAAUUCAAAACCAAGUACUAAGCCCCUAACAUGUAGUGCUGUCACUCCCAAUCUAACAAGAGUCACAUUUCCAAGGGACAGCUUUCUCCCUUCCUUCAAAAUUUCAUCAGCAAUAACAUUAUAAAUGUCAUAUUUAUUUGAAUCCCUUACUAGUGCAAUACUUCUGUCUAGCCAAUUAGAUUUUUUUAAAUUAUCAGAUUAGCAUACCAGUUUUAAUGCUAAUGGUUAUUAUUAAAGAGCAUGUUUUAGGACUACAUCAACCUAUUAGAGCCCUGAA